GCCUUAUUUGCAUGUCAAAGAUGGUUCUUUAAGUGAGAGUUGUACAAGUGAUCCUUAGAUCUGAAAUCAUCAUGAAAUCUUGUGCACAUGAAUUCAUAUUUUGGUUCAUACUCAGGCAUAGUAUUAAGACAUAUACGGGAUGUUCUGGAUAUGGUAGAGUAUGUAUGAAGGUUAUGAGUAGAUCAACAUGAAAUCGAUCACUCCC
This 205-nucleotide long non-coding RNA is filed under the name Elaeis guineensis (African oil palm). RNAcentral's name for it is "long non-coding RNA (EGUI_LNC052632)". Lineage: Eukaryota; Viridiplantae; Streptophyta; Magnoliopsida; Arecales; Arecaceae. The record is from RNAcentral.